AUUGAACGCUGGCGGCAGGCCUAACACAUGCAAGUCGAACGAGUGGCGGACGGGUGAGUAAUGUCUGGGAAACUGCCUGAUGGCGGGGGAUAACUACUGGAAACGGUAGCUAAUACCGCAUACCAUCAGAUGUGCCCAGCGGGGAUUAGCUUGUUGGUGGGGUAACGGGUCACCAAGGCUACGAUCCCUAGCUGGGCUGCGAGGAUGACCAGCCAAACUGGAACUGGGACACGGGCCAGACUCCUACGGGAGGCAGCAGUGGGGAAUAUUGCACAAUGGGCGCAAGCCUGAUGCAGCCAUGCCGCGUGUAUGAAGAAGGCCUUCGGGUUGUAAAGUACUUGCAGCGGGGAGGCGUUACCCGCAGAAGAAGCACCGGCUAACUCCGUGCCAGCCGCCGCGGUAAUAC
Molecule: ribosomal RNA, 406 nt
Filed under: uncultured bacterium
Lineage: Bacteria
Description: partial 16S ribosomal RNA
Rfam family: Bacterial small subunit ribosomal RNA
Source: RNAcentral